GCGGGGAUGCCCGAGCAUGGUCAAAGGGGGCGGACUUAAGAGCCCGCUAGGAGAUCCGCUGGCGAAGGCCUGCGUGGGUUCGAGUCCCACUCCCCGCA
This 98-nucleotide transfer RNA is filed under the name Candidatus Aramenus sulfurataquae. RNAcentral's name for it is "Sulfolobales archaeon AZ1 tRNA". It matches the Rfam family "tRNA". Rfam says of the family: Transfer RNA (tRNA) molecules are approximately 80 nucleotides in length. Their secondary structure includes four short double-helical elements and three loops (D, anti-codon, and T loops). Lineage: Archaea; Thermoproteati; Thermoproteota; Thermoprotei; Sulfolobales; Sulfolobaceae. The record is from Rfam by way of RNAcentral.